AAUCGCCUUUCAACUGCACGUGUAAUUAAUCCCAAAGUAUUACCUACUGAAUCAAAACCUGUUUAUAAACCUAUAAAAGUUUCCACCAAAAAGAUUACUGAAUCAAAACCUGCAAAAAUUCCCACCAAAAAGAUUACUGAAUCAAAACCUACAAAACUUCCCACAAAAAAGAUUUCUGAAUCAAAACCCGCAAAAGCUGUCACCAAAAAGAUUUCUGAAUCAAAACCUGCAAAAGUUGUCAACAAAAAGAAUUUUGAAUCAAAACCUCCAAAAGUUGUCACCAAAAAGAAUUUUGAAGCAAAACCUGCAAAAAUGGCAACUAAGAAGACCAAUGAACAAAAACCUGCAAAAAUUGGGAACAAGAAGAUUGUUGA
This 374-nucleotide long non-coding RNA is filed under the name Lactuca sativa (garden lettuce). Its description in RNAcentral is "long non-coding RNA (LSAT_LNC009731)". Lineage: Eukaryota; Viridiplantae; Streptophyta; Magnoliopsida; Asterales; Asteraceae. The record is from RNAcentral.